GGGUACAUUCCAGCCUCACAAAAAUCAGAGGUUUCUACACACACCUCGUAAUCCAGAUUUCGUGAGAGUAAAAUGGUUGGGGAAGGCAAUGGCCCAGAAAUGUCCUCCUUUGAAUGGGAUUCUUCUAGCUAGGAAAGUCCAUAUCAACUUGUUCACAAUGUCAGGCUGAUCUUGUUGGAUCCAGUGGCUGGCUUCAGACAGAAUAGAACCCCAACAGGUAUCCUGUCUCCAGACUGCAGGCAUAAACACAAAACAGCAGCCUCCACUCCACUCCCAACAAAGGCCUGGGCAGAGCAGCUGCCACAGAGCAGGGAGCAGAAAUGGAAAUGGACUGCCUUCAAGUCAAUCCCAACUUAUGGGCAACCCUAUGAAUAGGGUUUUCAUGGAUUAUAAUAAACUGGGCAGCAUGGAUGCUAUUAACACACCAAGAGACUCCAAGAUAUCCUUUAUAUCUGUUAUCAGGCAGUCUAGCUUGUAACUCUCUCUCUGGGCAGGAGCAUCUGUUUCUCCAUAGCCUCUCAAAUCCAAGGCCACAACUCGGUAUUCACUCUUAAAUUCCCGCAUUUGAUGACGCCAGGAGUACCUAGCAAAUAAGAACACAAUUUUACUUCAUAGUAUUUAUUUAAGACUGAUAAGCUACUUCGUGUUCCUUUGGAAAAGCAGUUACACAAGAAACAUAAAACAAGAUCACAAAACUGAAGACAAUAGAGAUGUAACACCUGCAACGUUAAAACAAAAACUGCGCAAAAACAGAUAAAACAAAUCAAAACACAUUUCAG
This is a long non-coding RNA of Rhineura floridana, 779 nucleotides long. RefSeq lists it as uncharacterized. NCBI's taxonomy places the organism in Eukaryota, Metazoa, Chordata, Lepidosauria, Squamata, Rhineuridae. The record is from RefSeq and is a predicted model, not a curated record. The transcript is spliced from 6 exons.